RNAcentral lists this ribosomal RNA (503 nucleotides) under Paenibacillaceae bacterium CL3.77. RNAcentral describes it as "bacterial SSU rRNA". It matches the Rfam family "Bacterial small subunit ribosomal RNA", at positions 22 to 503 of the family's 1533-position model. The record is from RNAcentral. Lineage: Bacteria; Bacillati; Bacillota; Bacilli; Caryophanales; Paenibacillaceae.
GCUCAGGACGAACGCAGGCGGCGUGCCUAAUACAUGCAAGUCGAGCGGAGUUGAUGAGGUGCUUGCACCUCUGAUACUUAGCGGCGGACGGGUGAGUAACACGUGGGUAACCUGCCUAUAAGACUGGGAUAACAUUCGGAAACGAAUGCUAAUACCGGAUACGCGAUUUGGUCGCAUGAUCGAAUCGGGAAAGAUGGAGCAAUCUAUCACUUAUAGAUGGACCCGCGGCGCAUUAGCUAGUUGGUGAGGUAACGGCUCACCAAGGCGACGAUGCGUAGCCGACCUGAGAGGGUGAUCGGCCACACUGGGACUGAGACACGGCCCAGACUCCUACGGGAGGCAGCAGUAGGGAAUCUUCCGCAAUGGACGAAAGUCUGACGGAGCAACGCCGCGUGAGUGAUGAAGGUUUUCGGAUCGUAAAGCUCUGUUGCCAGGGAAGAAUGCUUGGGAGAGUAACUGCUCCCAAGGUGACGGUACCUGAGAAGAAAGCCCCCGGCUAACUA